Molecule: non-coding RNA, 66 nt
Organism: Ciona intestinalis (vase tunicate)
Lineage: Eukaryota; Metazoa; Chordata; Ascidiacea; Phlebobranchia; Cionidae
Source: RefSeq
UGUGGUUAAGUUGGUGCAAAUGAUUGUUACAAUACUUGUUAUUAUUUAGGACAAACCUUAGCCUUU